CAGCCGCCGCGGUAAUACGUAGGGUGCAAGCGUUAAUCGGAAUUACUGGGCGUAAAGCGUGCGCAGGCGGUUUGUUAAGACGGAUGUGAAAUCCCCGGGCUCAACCUGGGAACUGCAUUUGAGACUGUAUGGCUAGAGUGUGUCAGAGGGGGGUAGAAUUCCACGUGUAGCAGUGAAAUGCGUAGAUAUGUGGAGGAAUACCGAUGGCGAAGGCAGCCCCCUGGGAUAACACUGACGCUCAUGCACGAAAGCGUGGGGAGCAAACAGGAUAGAUACCCCCGUAGUCCCUGUCUCUUAUACA
This 301-nucleotide ribosomal RNA is filed under the name uncultured bacterium. RNAcentral describes it as "partial 16S ribosomal RNA". It matches the Rfam family "Bacterial small subunit ribosomal RNA", at positions 509 to 808 of the family's 1533-position model. The record is from RNAcentral.